RNAcentral lists this ribosomal RNA (468 nucleotides) under uncultured bacterium. Its description in RNAcentral is "partial 16S ribosomal RNA". It matches the Rfam family "Bacterial small subunit ribosomal RNA", at positions 28 to 507 of the family's 1533-position model. The record is from RNAcentral.
GACGAACGCUGGCGGCGUGCUUAACACAUGCAAGUCGAACGGAAAGGCCCUGCUUUUGUGGGGUGCUCGAGUGGCGAACGGGUGAGUAACACGUGAGUAACCUGCCCUUGACUUUGGGAUAACUUCAGGAAACUGGGGCUAAUACCGGAUAGGAGCUCCUGCUGCAUGGUGGGGGUUGGAAAGUUUCGGCGGUUGGGGAUGGACUCGCGGCUUAUCAGCUUGUUGGUGGGGUAGUGGCUUACCAAGGCUUUGACGGGUAGCCGGCCUGAGAGGGUGACCGGCCACAAUGGGACUGAGGUACGGCCCAGACUCCUACGGGAGGCAGCAGUGGGGAAUAUUGCACAAUGGGCGGAAGCCUGAUGCAGCAACGCCGCGGGCGGGAUGACGGCCUUCGGGUUGUAAACCGCUUUCGCCUGUGACGAAGCGUGAGUGACGGUAAUGGGUAAAGAAGCACCGGCUAACUACGUG